Molecule: non-coding RNA, 922 nt
Filed under: Dendropsophus miyatai (Hosteria La Selva treefrog)
Lineage: Eukaryota; Metazoa; Chordata; Amphibia; Anura; Hylidae
Description: partial 12S ribosomal RNA
Rfam family: Bacterial small subunit ribosomal RNA
Source: RNAcentral
UGGUCCCGACCUUGAAGUCAAUUGUUACUUAAUAUACACAUGCAAGUCUCCGCCCCCCUGUGAAAACGCCCUUACACCCCAUCUAAUGGAAAAGGAGCCGGUAUCAGGCACAAAAUUAGCCCAAGACACCUAGCCACGCCACACCCACACGGGAUUUCAGCAGUGAUUAACAUUGUACAUAAGCGCUAGCUUGAACCAGUUAAAGUAAACAGAGCCGGCAAAUCUGGUGCCAGCCGCCGCGGUUACACCCUGAGGCUCAAACUGACUUCCCCCGGCGUAAAGCGUGAUUAAAGUCAUACUUUUUCCACAGUUAAAAGAGAAUUAAGCCGUAACACGCGUAUUCUUACGAAACUCAAAAACGAAAGUUACUGUAACACAUGCUUGAACUCACGAUAGCUGGGGGACAAACUGGGAUUAGAUACCCCACUAUGCCCAGCCGUAAACUUUUAUUUACAUUACAACGCCCGGGAACUACGAGCAAAGCUUAAAACCCAAAGGACUUGACGGUACCCCACAUCCACCUAGAGGAGCCUGUCCUAUAAUCGAUAACCCCCGCUUAACCUCACCACUUUUAGCUUAACAGCCUGUAUACCUCCGUCGUCAGCUUACCCCGUGAGCGCUAACUAGUGAGCCCAACUGUCCCACACCAACACGUCAGGUCAAGGUGCAGCAUAUAAAAUGGGAAGAGAUGGGCUACACUAUCUACUCUAGAUAACACGAAAAACUAUUUAUGAAACCUAGUUAGAAGGCGGAUUUAGAAGUAAAGAAAAACCAAAAUGUUUUCUUUAACUAGGCACUGGGGUGUGUACACACCGCCCGGUCACCCUCUUCAAAUUUUCUGCAAAGUUUAUAACAAUUUUUAGCCCCACCCAGAAGAGGCAAGUCGUAACAUGGUAAGUAUACCGGAAGGUGUGCUUGGAAA